Molecule: ribosomal RNA, 253 nt
Filed under: uncultured bacterium
Lineage: Bacteria
Description: partial 16S ribosomal RNA
Rfam family: Bacterial small subunit ribosomal RNA
Source: RNAcentral
GACGUAGGGUGCAAGCGUUGUCCGGAUUUAUUGGGCGUAAAGAGCUCGUAGGUGGCCUGCCGCGUCGGAUGUGAAAACCCGGGGCUCAACCCCGGGCCUGCAUUCGAUACGGGCAGGCUAGAGGAUGGCAGGGGAAACUGGAAUUCCUGGUGUAGCGGUGAAAUGCGCAGAUAUCAGGAGGAACACCGGUGGCGAAGGCGGGUUUCUGGGCCAUUCCUGACACUGAGGAGCGAAAGCGUGGGGAGCAAACAGG